This is a long non-coding RNA of Austrofundulus limnaeus, 988 nucleotides long. RefSeq lists it as uncharacterized. The transcript has 2 exons. The record is from RefSeq and is a predicted model, not a curated record. NCBI's taxonomy places the organism in Eukaryota, Metazoa, Chordata, Actinopteri, Cyprinodontiformes, Rivulidae.
GAUGGGUUCUGACAGGUGAAGGGAGGAGUUCUGACAGGUGAAGGGAGGAGUUCUGACAGGUGAAGGGAGGGGUUCUGACAGGUGAAGGGAGGAGUUCUGACAGGUGAAGGGAGGGGUUCUGACAGGUGAAUGGAGGAGUUCUGACAGGUGAAGGGUGGAGUUCUGACAGGUGAAGAGAGGAGUUCUGACAGGAGUUCUGACAGGUGAAGGGUGGAGUUCUGACAGGUGAAGGGAGGAGUUCUGACAGGUGAAGGGAGGGGUUCUGACAGGUGAAGGGUGGAGUUCUGACAGGUGAAGGGAGGGGUUCUGACAGGUGAAGGGAGGAGUUCUGACAGGUGAAGGGAGGAGUUCUGACAGGUGAAGGGUGGAGUUCUGACAGGUGAAGAGAGGAGUUCUGACAGGAGUUCUGACAGGUGAAGGGUGGAGUUCUGACAGGUGAAGGGAGGGGUUCUGACAGGUGAAGGGUGGAGUUCUGACAGGUGAAGAGAGGAGUUCUGACAGGAGUUCUGACAGGUGAAGGGUGGAGUUCUGACAGGUGAAGGGAGGGGUUCUGACAGGUGAAGGGAGGAGUUCUGACAGGUGAAGGGAGGAGUUCUGACAGGUGAAGGGAGGAGUUCUGACAGGUGAAGGGUGGAGUUCUGACAGGUGAAGGGAGGAGUUCUGACAGGUGAAGGGAGGAGUUCUGACAGGUGAAGGGAGGGGUUCUGACAGGUGAAGGGAGGGGUUCUGACAGGUGAAGGGAGGGGUACUGACAGGUGAAGGGUGGAGUUCUGACAGGUGAAGGGUGGAGUUCUGACAGGUGAAGGGAGGGGUUCUGACAGGUGAAGGGAGGAGUUCUGACAGGUGAAGGGAGGAGUUCUGACAGGUGAAGGGAGGAGUUCUGACAGGUGAAGGGAGGGGUUCUGACAGGUGAAGGGUGGAGUUCUGACAGGUGAAGGGAGGGGUUCUGACAGGUGAAGGGAGGAGUUCUGACAGGUGAAGGGAGGAG